CAUUUACUUCAAUUCGUGCAUCUCCACGUCAGAUGCAAGAAGAAAACUUAGCACGUUCCAUACAUUUUUCAUACUUCCAACUAAAACCAAAUUUCUAGUUGUUCAAAGGCUCAAUGAAAUCCAUUUAAGGGAGUAACUGGAGUCACAUUUUUUAAAUUUCCGAAGAGUAAUUUCAUCAAACAUCUUGGUUGCAAGUGCUAUGUUGUCACUAAUUCUGCACCGUAAAUCUGCAAGUGCUAUUUACACGUGCUUUAUGUUCAUGAAACCUUGUCAAAAUUAUCUGGAUGGAGGAUGGUAGAAUUUCCAGUAAACUUUUUAGCUCCACUAUUUAUUCACUCUUGAUUUACUUCAAUUUGUACAUCUCCAUUCGAGUUGCAGAAAUUGAAACAACUCCAUCUGGCUACCUAUUUAUUAAUUGGUUAUGGCUAAUGUUCAAUCAGACAUUCAUAACUAGUAUGCAUUACCGCAAAUUUUGUGGUAUCCACAACUAUUCAUCUUUGUUGAAAACGAAGAUGAUAUAGACUUGCGCUCUGAUGUCACUUGUUGAAGAAAAUAUGAA
This 559-nucleotide long non-coding RNA is filed under the name Olea europaea subsp. europaea. Lineage: Eukaryota; Viridiplantae; Streptophyta; Magnoliopsida; Lamiales; Oleaceae. The record is from RNAcentral.